This 253-nucleotide ribosomal RNA is filed under the name uncultured bacterium. Its description in RNAcentral is "partial 16S ribosomal RNA". It matches the Rfam family "Bacterial small subunit ribosomal RNA", at positions 524 to 776 of the family's 1533-position model. The record is from RNAcentral.
UACGAAGGGGGCUAGCGUUGCUCGGAAUCACUGGGCGUAAAGCGCACGUAGGCGGCUUUCUAAGUCAGGGGUGAAAUCCUGGAGCUCAACUCCAGAACUGCCUUUGAUACUGGAGAGCUCGAGUCCGGAAGAGGUGAGUGGAACUGCGAGUGUAGAGGUGAAAUUCGUAGAUAUUCGCAAGAACACCAGUGGCGAAGGCGGCUCACUGGCCCGAUACUGACGCUGAGGCACGAAAGCGUGGGGAGCAAACAGG